CCGGCGCUGGCGGGGCCGGGCUGGGCGGCGGGGCCCGCGGAGCGGAGCCGGCCCUACGCCGUGCUGCGGAGACAGAACCUGGUGCUCAUGGGGAGCGUUUUCAGUAUCCUGUUAAUCACCAUGAUCCUGAUGGCAGUAUGCGUCUACAAGCCCAUUCGACGACGGUAGCAGAGCGGGAAGAAUCGGAACGGAUUGGUCACCUUGCUUGUGGAAAUUUUGCGAUCAAAUCCCUGGUGCUUGAACAUGACCUGUGCUGUGCAGCAACCGUAAAUCCAGCCUGAUUUGUAGUCUGAGUUCUGGCUUGUAAACCACUACGGCUGCUUAGUAAAAAGACCGUGAGAAGUUUUUUUGUUUUUUUUCUUCCCCUCUAACAUGUAAUGUAACCAGUUGUUUCCCUUGCAGAAGCAUGCCUACAACUGCUUGGCUCCUCGCAAAGACACCAUAGCUAGAAUCUGAAAAUCUCCUCCCAGAUCUCUAGCAAUUAGUAGCUCAACAGAGGUCUAUCUCUUCAAACAUGGAUGCCUAAAGUUAGACACUUACAUAAAUGUGGCCUCACUCUGGCAAAUUGUAUGUCAGUGACUAAUUCUAAGUACUCAUGUUUGAAAAUGUUAGCUGUAAACUUCAGUUAGUAUUUGGCCUAACUCUGAUAGGAAAGGCUAGGAAUAUGUGAAGUAUUUUACUUUGGUAUUGCCCACAGGAAGACCCUACCACUUAGACUUGCUGUAUUUCUGAAUUCUGUUCUCAAUUCCUGGGUGGGAAUAUGACAUGAGUAACCCUCAUGAUACUCCUUAAACACAGCCUCUAAGUGAUCCUAACAUGAAAACAAUGUACUUUAGAUAAUGUGGUUCAUGUGCCAUUUUUGGCAGCAAGGCUGAUUACAAUUUCAGCUGUUUCAAAUGUCAAAGUUUUCUCAAUCUAGUCUGUCAAAUACCCAGUGGACUACAGUGUGGUGGUAUCAGAAACAAAGUUAAAUGGAAAGCUUAUAACUUUUGAUUUGUUCUAAAAAUCAUAAUUUUGCAAGCAGGCAAGUGCAUUGGAUUCUGAUGUAUUGAUUGGUUUUGCAGUCUUAAGGAAUGCAACUCUCCACUCAAGCAUGAAGUCUUCUAUCAGGUUUCUAGAGUGAGUCUUAUAAAAGUCAGUCAAAAGAUGAGGGCUUGAACAUGCUCUAGUCAUGAACUUGGCUUUGUAGGGCUGGCCUACGCACACAUUUGAAUUGAAAUAGAAGUAUGAAUUAAAGCUGAUUUCAUUAUUUUGGGGGUGUGUUGGUUUGUUACUGACUUUAGCUGCUUUUAUUCUGAAAUAAGUGGCUACACUCAGACUUGUACCAAAAUAGCUAUGUUGGUUUUAGGAAUCCGGUCCAAGUUUUUUUUGUAGACCAGACCCCAGGGCUGAACAAAUGUUCAUGUCCUUAAAUGUGUAAUAGGUUUGGGCUCAGUAGAUGAAAUGACUAACAGUGUAAACUUCAGCCCCUUAAAUAUUUCCAAGAAAGUCAGUCAUGGUUGAGUGACUGUCACUUUAAUAAGAUUAAGGGACUGUCACUUUCAAAACCUUGUGAAAAUGUUGUGUGUUUAAGUUAUGUGCAGCUCUCAGUUAUGUGAAUUGUAUGUGAUAAGUGUUUACACUGGCAAAUCCCACUUGCAUAUAAAUGCUGCUAUUUUAUUUUGCACUAGUAUAAGUGUUAGUUGGAUUUUUCUUGUUUGUUAUUUAACAAAGGACUGCUUUGGUGGUGGUAAUUUAUUUUAGAAUAUUUUAAUUUCACAUGAGGAACAACUCCCUGCAUCUCUCUUCUAUUGUUUUCAACUUUCUGCUGUGGCUUAUGUAAGUAACAACUGCUGGCUCCAUUUCAUUUAAAGGGAUGAGGUGACGGCUGGUGAAAGUAAUGAUGACUUUUUGCUGCUUGUCUGUAUUGUAAUAAGAUGAUGUUUGUACCCUGCAAUUCCCAGCCUUUAAGUAAAAUAUGAGCUAAAGUGAGAGUAAACUGGUGGUAAGUUUUAGUUCUUGCUGCUCCUUUUUCUGUUUUGUAAAUUGUAUCAGCUGAAUCAUCUGUCUACUCUCUGUCUGUCUUCAUUUCACCUAAGAUUACACUUUCAUCUUCGUUAGCGUGGUAGUGAGGGAAAGUCCAGCUGCACUCAAGGUUAUAGGCUUGUAGCUACAAGCCUAUAACCUUAUCUGCUUGCUUGGAGUGAUAUUCUUGUUUACAUUCCCCACUCCUAGCUACCUCCCUUAUUGUACAAAUAAAAAGCUAACCCAA
Trachemys scripta elegans is the source of this 2251-nucleotide long non-coding RNA. RefSeq lists it as uncharacterized. The transcript has 2 exons. The record is from RefSeq and is a predicted model, not a curated record. Lineage: Eukaryota; Metazoa; Chordata; Testudines; Emydidae.